GACGAACCGUGCGAACGUUGUUCGGAAUCACUGGGCUUAAAGGGCGCGUAGGCGGGCUGCCAAGUCCGGGGUGAAAUCCUCCGGCUCAACCGGAGAACGGCCUGGGAUACUGGCGGCCUCGAGGGGGGUAGGGGCGUGCGGAACUGUGGGUGGAGCGGUGAAAUGCGUUGAGAUCCACAGGAACUCCGGUGGCGAAGGCGGCACGCUGGACCCCAUCUGACGCUGAGGCGCGAAAGCCAGGGGAGCAAACGGG
Molecule: ribosomal RNA, 253 nt
Filed under: uncultured bacterium
Lineage: Bacteria
Description: partial 16S ribosomal RNA
Rfam family: Bacterial small subunit ribosomal RNA
Source: RNAcentral